GCCCGUCUAGCUCAGUCGGUAGAGCGCAAGGCUCUUAACCUUGUGGUCGUGUGUUCGAGCGCCACGGUGGGCG
This is a non-coding RNA of Gossypium arboreum, 73 nucleotides long. Lineage: Eukaryota; Viridiplantae; Streptophyta; Magnoliopsida; Malvales; Malvaceae. The record is from Rfam.